Molecule: ribosomal RNA, 492 nt
Filed under: uncultured bacterium
Lineage: Bacteria
Description: partial 16S ribosomal RNA
Rfam family: Bacterial small subunit ribosomal RNA
Source: RNAcentral
GGUGAACGCUGGCGGUAGGCCUAACACAUGCAAGUCGAACGGCAGCACAGUAGGAGCUUGCUCUUACGGGUGGCGAGUGGCGGACGGGUGAGGAAUACAUCGGAAUCUACUUUUUCGUGGGGGAUAACGUAGGGAAACUUACGCUAAUACCGCAUACGACCUACGGGUGAAAGCAGGGGAUCUUCGGACCUUGCGCGAUUGAAUGAGCCGAUGUCGGAUUAGCUAGUUGGCGGGGUAAAGGCCCACCAAGGCGACGAUCCGUAGCUGGUCUGAGAGGAUGAUCAGCCACACUGGAACUGAGACACGGUCCAGACUCCUACGGGAGGCAGCAGUGGGGAAUAUUGGACAAUGGGCGCAAGCCUGAUCCAGCCAUACCGCGUGGGUGAAGAAGGCCUUCGGGUUGUAAAGCCCUUUUGUUGGGAAAGAAAAGCAGCAGGUUAAUACCCCGCUGUUCUGACGGUACCCAAAGAAUAAGCACCGGCUAACUUCGUG